RNAcentral lists this unclassified non-coding RNA (150 nucleotides) under uncultured fungus. Its description in RNAcentral is "sequence contains ITS1". Lineage: Eukaryota; Fungi. The record is from RNAcentral.
ACAAAUCAUUGCGGGCUUCGGCUCACAUUAACCCGGCCGCAAGGCUAGGUCUAUAUGGACCUGUGUGCGUGGGCCGCGAGGCUUGCGUGCUUAGGUUCCAAAUUAACGCUUGAUUGUUUGACUGUAUGGAUGAUCAUCUAUUGAAAUUGA